RNAcentral lists this ribosomal RNA (594 nucleotides) under uncultured bacterium. RNAcentral describes it as "bacterial SSU rRNA". It matches the Rfam family "Bacterial small subunit ribosomal RNA", at positions 470 to 1059 of the family's 1533-position model. The record is from RNAcentral.
UGACGGUAUCAUAUGAAUAAGCACCGGCUAACUCCGUGCCAGCAGCCGCGGUAAUACGGGGGGUGCAAGCGUUACUCGGAAUCACUGGGCGUAAAGAGCAUGUAGGCGGGUGAAUAAGUUGGAAGUGAAAUCCUAUAGCUUAACUAUAGAACUGCUUCCAAAACUGUUCACCUAGAGUAUGGGAGAGGUAGAUGGAAUUUCUGGUGUAGGGGUAAAAUCCGUAGAGAUCAGAAGGAAUACCGAUUGCGAAGGCGAUCUACUGGAACAUUACUGACGCUCAGAUGCGAAAGCGUGGGGAGCAAACAGGAUUAGAUACCCUGGUAGUCCACGCCCUAAACGAUGUACACUAGUUGUUGCUAUACUAGAUAUGGCAGUAAUGCAGUUAACACUUUAAGUGUACCGCCUGGGGAGUACGGUCGCAAGAUUAAAACUCAAAGGAAUAGACGGGGACCCGCACAAGCGGUGGAGCAUGUGGUUUAAUUCGACGAUACGCGAAAAACCUUACCUGGCCUUGACAUAGUAGGAAUCUUUAAGAGAUUAGAGAGUGCUAGCUUGCUAGAACCUACAUACAGGUGCUGCACGGCUGUCGUCAGC